UUAUUUCCUUUUAGUUGUUUAUUUUGCUUUUUAGUAUAAUGCAUGAGUUUGACGAGUCACCAAAUAUAGUAGAUCUUUAGUACAAUCCUACCUCCCCAUACCUUUAGCCCCACCGAAUUUUUUUUUGCAAAAGAAAAUAGUGUUAUUUCGAAAGUUUUCAGGUUUUAAAGACAUGUUUUGAGUAAGGAUGCGGUGACUUGGGAGAACUUUGCGAAACAUCAGUAUCUGUUUU
Molecule: long non-coding RNA, 232 nt
Filed under: Lathyrus oleraceus (garden pea)
Lineage: Eukaryota; Viridiplantae; Streptophyta; Magnoliopsida; Fabales; Fabaceae
Description: Pisum sativum (pea) long non-coding RNA (PSAT_LNC030304)
Source: RNAcentral